This 539-nucleotide ribosomal RNA is filed under the name uncultured bacterium. Its description in RNAcentral is "bacterial SSU rRNA". It matches the Rfam family "Bacterial small subunit ribosomal RNA", at positions 356 to 896 of the family's 1533-position model. The record is from RNAcentral.
GAGGAAUAUUGGUCAAUGGACGGAAGUCUGAACCAGCCAAGUAGCGUGCAGGAUGACGGCCCUAUGGGUUGUAAACUGCUUUUGUAUGGGGAUAAAGUCAAUCACGUGUGAUUGUUUGCAGGUACCAUACGAAUAAGGACCGGCUAAUUCCGUGCCAGCAGCCGCGGUAAUACGGAAGGUCCUGGUGUUAUCCGGAUUUAUUGGGUUUAAAGGGAGCGUAGGCCGUAGAUUAAGUGUGUUGUGAAAUGUAGGCGCCCAACGUCUGCCUUGCAGCGCAAACUGGUUUACUUGAGUACGCGCAACGCAGGCGGAAUUCGUCGUGUAGCGGUGAAAUGCUUAGAUAUGACGAAGAACUCCGAUUGCGAAGGCAGCUGACGGGAGCGCAACUGACGCUUAAGCUCGAAGGUGCGGGUACCAAACAGGAUUAGAUACCCUGGUAGUCCGCACAGUAAACGAUGGAUGCCCGCUGUUGGUACCUGGUAUCAGCGGCUAAGCGAAAGCAUUAAGCAUCCCACCUGGGGAGUACGCCGGCAACGGUG